Molecule: long non-coding RNA, 472 nt
Organism: Homarus americanus (American lobster)
Lineage: Eukaryota; Metazoa; Arthropoda; Malacostraca; Decapoda; Nephropidae
Exons: 3
Source: RefSeq, a predicted model, not a curated record
GAAAUACAAAAUAUCCUUGGUCAUAUAGCCUGGUUUUAUACCUGCACUGUCUAGGUACAGUAUAUAUCAAUUUACUGGCCAUUCCUGCAGUCUUGUUCUUAAACCUACAUUACCAAAUAUUAGCACAGAAGAAAAUCAGAAAACUUGUAAUGAUUGGCAACAUCACUAGAUAUCUUUCUCCCGUGUCCCGCGAAAUCACAUUACAGUACCACUAUCAUUAUUAUUUCUCGGCAGAUACAUCAGUGGUGGUGAGGCCGUCACAUUACCAGCGGUUGUGGAUUUCUCAAUUCAACCUUUAUAUUGCAGACUCCACAUAAGGUAAAACACUUCCAUUCAGCAAUUGGUGUGCAGUGUCCAGAUUGUCAACAUUUAGUUCAGUAUGAUGUUACUUCUGGCCAGCUUAACCUGAGGAGAAAGUCAGUACAGUACACGAUUAGAUUUUGAAAAGGAAACUGCAAAGUACGCAAGCUAU